This 440-nucleotide ribosomal RNA is filed under the name uncultured bacterium. RNAcentral describes it as "partial 16S ribosomal RNA". It matches the Rfam family "Bacterial small subunit ribosomal RNA", at positions 338 to 795 of the family's 1533-position model. The record is from RNAcentral.
CCUACGGGAGGCAGCAGUGGGGGAUAUUGCACAAUGGGGGGAACCCUGAUGCAGCGACGCCGCGUGGGUGAAGAAGCGCCUCGGCGCGUAAAGCCCUGUCAGCAGGGAAGAAAAUGAUGGUACCUGAAGAAGAAGCCCCGGCUAACUACGUGCCAGCAGCCGCGGGAAUACGUCGGGGGCAAGCGUUAUCCGGAUUUACUGGGUGUAAAGGGGGCGCAGACGGCGAUGCAAGCCAGGAGUGAAAGCCCGGGGCCCAACCCCGGGACUGCUCUUGGAACUGCGUGGCUGGAGUGCAGGAGGGGCAGGCGGAAUUCCUGGUGUAGCGGUGAAAUGCGUAGAGAUCAGGAGGAAGACCGGUGGCGAAGGUGGCCUGCUGGACUGCAACUGACGUUGAGGCCCGAAAGCGUGGGGAGCAAACAGGAUUAGAUACCCUGGUAGUC